AACGCACAUUGCGCCCAUUAGUAUUCUAGUGGGCAUGCCUGUUCGAGCGUCAUUAAGUCCACUUAAGCCCUGCUUAGUGUUGGGAGACUGCUCCAGCGGUGCUACCCUGUAGCUACCCUGCAGCUCCUCAAAGACAGCGGCGGAGUUGUGGUAUCCUCUGAGCUUAGUAACUUGUUCUAGCUUUCGAGUACACCACUUCCCCUGCCGUAAAACCCUUAAUUUUUAAUGGUUGACCUCGGAUCAGGUAGGAAUACCCGCUGAACUUAA
RNAcentral lists this unclassified non-coding RNA (267 nucleotides) under uncultured fungus. RNAcentral describes it as "partial contains 5.8S ribosomal RNA, internal transcribed spacer 2, and large subunit ribosomal RNA". RNAcentral also lists the same sequence under 1 other name. The record is from RNAcentral. Lineage: Eukaryota; Fungi.